Molecule: long non-coding RNA, 123 nt
Organism: Syngnathus acus (greater pipefish)
Lineage: Eukaryota; Metazoa; Chordata; Actinopteri; Syngnathiformes; Syngnathidae
Exons: 4
Source: RefSeq, a predicted model, not a curated record
GUAGAAUUCAAAUAAACUCUCGAUUUUAUUCCAUCAGUGUGGUGAAGAAUUGAACUGCAAACGCAUCCAAAAUGUAAAACCUGAUGCUGAGCUCCCAUCAGGCAAUGGUAGCAUUAGCCCCCC